CUCAACAACAGUAAUCCAGUGUACCCCUGAUCCAUCAGAGUCGAAAGUCAUGCAUCCUCCGAUACACAACCCAACCAAGCCGCACUGCUUCUUAGCACAGCCCGCAUCCAACCCGGAAGCCAGCCGCACCGUGUCGGAGGAAACACCGUGCACCUGGCAACCUUGGUUAGCGUGGACUGCACCUGGCCCGCCACAGGAGUCGCUGGUGCGCGAUGAGACUCAGAGGACCAUUAUUAGCAUGUUUUAACCACUCAUAUAUAAACGGUAGAUUAUCGAACACAC
Molecule: long non-coding RNA, 282 nt
Organism: Oncorhynchus tshawytscha (Chinook salmon)
Lineage: Eukaryota; Metazoa; Chordata; Actinopteri; Salmoniformes; Salmonidae
Source: Ensembl